AAGGUUUCGGAGUCAAUCGCCUGAUUUAUUUUAGGAGGAAAGUCCGGACUUCAUAGGGUAAAAGAGGCAGCUAACGGCUGCUGGGAGAAAUCCUAAGGAAAGUGCCACAGAAAUAAACCGCUCGUAAUGAGUAAGGGUGAAAAGGCGGUGUAAGAGACCCCCGGUAAUUUAAGAAAUUAAGUUAGCCAAGGUAAACCCCUCUUGAAGCAAGAAUAAAUAGAAAGCAGUAUAGAAGCGACCCGUUUCUGCUUAUAGGGUAAUUCGCUGAAAUCGUGAAGUGAUUCACGGUUUAGAUAAAUGAUUGAUAAAAACAGAAUCCGGCUUAUCCCGAAACCUUUUUA
Molecule: RNase P RNA, 341 nt
Filed under: Leptotrichia sp. OH3620_COT-345
Lineage: Bacteria; Fusobacteriati; Fusobacteriota; Fusobacteriia; Fusobacteriales; Leptotrichiaceae
Description: RNase P RNA component class A
Rfam family: Bacterial RNase P class A
About the family: Ribonuclease P (RNase P) is a ubiquitous endoribonuclease, found in archaea, bacteria and eukarya as well as chloroplasts and mitochondria. Its best characterised activity is the generation of mature 5'-ends of tRNAs by cleaving the 5'-leader elements of precursor-tRNAs. Cellular RNase Ps are ribonucleoproteins.
Source: RNAcentral